GCCGAUGUGGCUCAGUUGGUAGAGCAGCCGAUUCGUAAUCAGCAGGUCGGGGGUUCGAGUCCCUUCAUCGGCUCCA
RNAcentral lists this transfer RNA (76 nucleotides) under Clostridia bacterium. RNAcentral's name for it is "tRNA-Thr". It matches the Rfam family "tRNA". From Rfam's summary of the family: Transfer RNA (tRNA) molecules are approximately 80 nucleotides in length. Their secondary structure includes four short double-helical elements and three loops (D, anti-codon, and T loops). The record is from RNAcentral. Lineage: Bacteria; Bacillati; Bacillota; Clostridia.